CAACUUUCAGCAACGGAUCUCUUGGCUCUCSCAUCGAUGAAGAACGCAGCGAAAUGCGAUAAGUAAUGUGAAUUGCAGAAUUCAGUGAAUCAUCGAAUCUUUGAACGCACCUUGCACUCCUUGGGUAUUCCUAGGAGUAUGCCUGUUUGAGUGUCAUU
RNAcentral lists this ribosomal RNA (158 nucleotides) under Megacollybia platyphylla. RNAcentral's name for it is "5.8S ribosomal RNA". It matches the Rfam family "5.8S ribosomal RNA". Rfam says of the family: 5.8S ribosomal RNA (5.8S rRNA) is a component of the large subunit of the eukaryotic ribosome. It is transcribed by RNA polymerase I as part of the 45S precursor that also contains 18S and 28S rRNA. Functionally, it is thought that 5.8S rRNA may be involved in ribosome translocation. The record is from RNAcentral. Lineage: Eukaryota; Fungi; Basidiomycota; Agaricomycetes; Agaricales; Porotheleaceae.